GAUAGGAUAAGGUUAAGAUAGGACAAGUUAAGAUACUCUUAACUUGUAUGCCAUUUUAUGUUUUACAAAGACAUGAUAAAUUACCAUAAGUUUAGGAUAAGAUUAUAUGAGAUAGGAUUGCAUAGCAUAAGAUAAGAAAGAUAGGAUAAGAUAACAUAGAAUAAAAUUAAGAUAGGAUAGGUUACGGUAAGCUUAAGAUUGUAUAACAUAGGAUUAGAUUAAUUAUAAAUAAAGCAGUCCUCCUUAGAGGGGGGGUGGUGGAGGGAAUAUUUAAGAAAUAAAAAUAGGAUCAGUUAACAUAAGGUAAAGAUAAGAUUGUAUAACAUAGGAUUAGAUUAAUUAUAAAUAAAGCAGUCCUCCUUAGAGGGGGGGGUGGUGGAGGGAAUAUUUAAGAAAUAAAAAUAGGAUCAGUUAACAUAAGGUAAAGAUAAGAUUGUAUAACAUAGGAUUAGAUUAAUUGUAAAUAAAGCAGUCCUCCUUAGAGGGGGGGUGGUGGAGGGAAUAUUUAAGAAAUAAAAAUAGGAUUAAUUCAGAAGGUUAAGAUAAGAUUGUAUAACAUAGGAUUAGAUUAAUUGUAAAUAAAGCAGUCCUCCUUAGAGGGGGGGUGGUGGAGGGAAUAUUUAAGAAAUAAAAAUAGGAUUAAUUCAGAAGGUUAAGAUAAGAUUGUAUAACAUAGGGCUACAGUGAAGAAAUCAAAAAUUUCAAGGCAGCAUGAAGGUAACGCACAAUCAGGGAUGUGCAAUUUCUGAGGCAUGUAUUCAAAAAAAGUAUUUUAAUUGUGUUUUAUGAUUCAUAUUUGAGUUCAUGAAAUAAAAUGUUUUUUUCUACAGA
This is a long non-coding RNA of Brienomyrus brachyistius, 831 nucleotides long. RefSeq lists it as uncharacterized. Lineage: Eukaryota; Metazoa; Chordata; Actinopteri; Osteoglossiformes; Mormyridae. The record is from RefSeq and is a predicted model, not a curated record. The transcript has 2 exons.